GCCAGCAUGGACAGCACUAAACCAAAGCCGCCUCUGUUCUCCACUGCUGGCAGGACCAAGCUGAGACCAGGACCAAAACUGUGGGAUGUGUUGGCCACAUACUUCCAGCCCCACAGCACACAGCAGGCAUGGAGGGCGGGUACAGGGCCCAGCAGGACAGAAAAUCUGCUGGAGCAGAUUCCUGGGAACAGCGUGUCCCUCCUCUUCAGAGGUCUCCUCUUCUUUUCUGAAGCUUUACAGAUAGAUUAUAGAAAAUGACCAGCAUGCAUGAUGAGGAAACUGAGACUCCAAGAGGCCAACUCACUUGCCUCAGAUGCCCUGGCCAGGAGGGGACAGCCUCAGCAGGACAGUCCAUGCUAGAUGACCCCUGGUCUGGCAUGAUUUCCAUUACGCCAGUGCAUUGCAUAGCAGACAAGCUCAAUCGGAAAUGCUCUCCUAGACCCAGGCUUAGGGUCUGAAAGGUGGUUACAGACCAUUACAGACCACUUUUCCACUUUUCAAGUUGAAAAGAGCCAUUGCUUUGAAAAUACUUGUGGAUUAGAUUGAAAUGCCAACGGCAGAGUAUGAAGACCAGGCCACAAAAGGAAAGGUUCAUUCACCUUGCGCCCUCUUGUGGAGAAGAAGGCAAAGAAUACUAUAAUACUACCUCAGAAAACGGGAAUUUAGUUCAUCCUCUUCCUCUAACAUACAGUUGCAAUACAAUGUAAUGAUAUGUCUUCAUCAUAGUAUGAUUUUGCAAAUUUUUUCACAAAUGAACCAGGUAGAUUGUAUUGUAUAAUUAUUUUUCCUUGUCUGGAAACAUCCUUCUGUGUUUUUGCUCCUGAAAAAUCAUAACCUUGCUUUAUUUUUUUGCUUAGUUUUCUAGGUACUUAUCAAAAUUAAUGCUUAAAAUCUCUACUGAAGCUGUAUGGUCCUCUCAAUAUUGUUAAACAAGUCUGAAUUCUCCAAUAAUUCUCCUUCUGAAAAAUUACUGGAGUUAUUCUCAGUGCUACUGCUCAAAUUGAGACUACUUUUUCAUUUGUUGCACAGCUAACAUCCUGGAAUUCCACAUUUGCAUGUCUUUUGAUAAAUAAAAAUCCCAAUUUUUAAUAA
RNAcentral lists this long non-coding RNA (1092 nucleotides) under Homo sapiens (human). RNAcentral describes it as "HSALNT0249879". Lineage: Eukaryota; Metazoa; Chordata; Mammalia; Primates; Hominidae. The record is from RNAcentral.